This 904-nucleotide ribosomal RNA is filed under the name uncultured archaeon. RNAcentral describes it as "bacterial SSU rRNA". It matches the Rfam family "Archaeal small subunit ribosomal RNA", at positions 23 to 903 of the family's 1478-position model. The record is from RNAcentral.
CCUACUGCUAUCGGGAUGAGACUAAAACAUGCUAGUUGUGCGCACCUUAGCUAUGUUAGGAGCGCAGCGAACGGCUCCGUAACACGUUGUCAAUCUAACCUUAGGAUAGGAAUAACCCCGGGAAACUGGGGCUAAUACCUGAUAGGCGAAUAAUUCUGGAAUGAUUUUUCACUCAAAGAGUUAUAGGAACAUGCUUCUUUAACUGCCUAAGGAUGAGACUGCGUCCGAUCAGGUUGUUGGUGGGGUGAUGGCCUACCAAGCCUAUAACCGGUACGGGCCCUGAGAGGGGGAGCCCGGAGAUGGGAACUGAGACAAGGUCCCAGACCCUAAGGGGUGCAGCAGUUGCGAAACCUCUACAAUGCACGAAAGUGUGAUAGGGUUAUCCCGAGUGCCGUCCGAUGAGGAUGGCUUUUACCUGGUGUAAGGAGCCAGGAGAAUAAAGGGGGGGCAAGACUGGUGUCAGCCGCCGCGGUAAUACCAGCCCCCUGAGUGGUAGGGAUGAUUAUUUGGCCUAAAGCGUCCGUAGCCGGCUUAGCAAGUCUUUCGUUAAAUCCGGUGACUUAAUCAUCGGCCCGCGAGAGAUACUACUAGGCUUGAGGGCGGGAGAGUUCGACGGUAUUCCGGGGUUAGGGGUAAAAUCCUAUAAUCCUCGGAGGACCACCAGUGGCGAAGGCGGUCGACUAGAACGUGCCUGACGGUGAUGGACGAAAGCUGGGGGAGCAAACCGGAUUAGACACCCGGGUAGUCCCAGCCGUAAACGAUGCGGGCUAGGUGUUGGACCAGCUACGAGCUGCUCCAGUGCCGAAGAGAAGUCAUUAAGCCUGCCGCCUGGGAAGUACGGUCGCAAGACUGAAACUUAAAGGAAUUGGCGGGGGAGCACCACAAGGGGUGAAGCCUGCGGUUC